RNAcentral lists this ribosomal RNA (477 nucleotides) under uncultured bacterium. Its description in RNAcentral is "partial 16S ribosomal RNA". It matches the Rfam family "Bacterial small subunit ribosomal RNA", at positions 28 to 507 of the family's 1533-position model. The record is from RNAcentral.
GAUGAACGCUGGCGGCGUGCCUAAUACAUGCAAGUCGAGCGAACAGACGAGGAGCUUGCUCCUCUGACGUUAGCGGCGGACGGGUGAGUAACACGUGGAUAACCUACCUAUAAGACUGGGAUAACUUCGGGAAACCGGAGCUAAUACCGGAUAAUAUAUUGAACCGCAUGGUUCAAUAGUGAAAGACGGUUUUGCUGUCAGUUAUGGAUGGAUCCGCGCCUCAUUAGCUCGUUGGUAGGGUAGCGGCUUACCAAGGCGACGGCGCGUAGCCGGCCUGAGGGGGUGACCGGCCACAUUGGGACGGCGAUACGGCCCAGACUCCUACGGGAGGCAGCAGUGGGGAAUAUUGCACAAUGGGCGGAAGCCUGAUGCAGCAACGCCGCGUGCGGGAUGACGGCCUUCGGGUUGUAAACCGCUUUCGCCUGUGACGAAGCGUGAGUGACGGUAAUGGGUAAAGAAGCACCGGCUAACUACGUG